GUUACGGCCCUGGUUCAGCCAAAGCACGAAAAUAUGGUAAGAUAUAUUUUGCACAUCUGUACCUUUAACAAACAUCUUGUUCUAUUAGGGCUAUAAUUUGAUCUCUCCAGGUCAGCCUGGUGGUGUGGGCACAGGUACAGCUGGAGGCCUGGGAGGAGGAGGACAAAGUGGACUAGGGCCUGGAUAUGGUUUUGGUCCAGGUGGAGCAGGUAUUGGUGCAGCUGGCGGCCUUGGAGGUGGAAGACCAGGGGAAGGUGUUGGCAUUGGCACUGGUGUGGGACCUGCCUCAGGGGUGGGAUUUGGUCCAGGUGGUGCUGGCAUUGGCCCGGGAGGAAUGGGUACUGGGCCUGGUGGAUAUGGAUAUGGCCCAGGUGGUACUGGCACCGGACUAGGAGGAGCAGGAACAGGACCUGGAGGUAGCUGUAGAGAAAAAUACAGCUAGAUUUAUACAACAAUAGAUGCUUAAGUUACUCAGUACAGCAUUCUGUCUAAUUUUCAUUACAAAGUCAAAAGUAUAACUAAUGUUUUUGUCUUUCAGGGUAUGAUGCCUCUGCCAAAGCUCGUAAAUAUGGUGAGCAAAUAAACACAACUGAAAAAUUGCAUUUGUUAUUGUUCUGUUAACAAAAAAUGUUGUACUGAUCCUCUCCUUAAAGGAAUGCUAAGCGGGGCACUUGGAGGUCCAGGUACAGGUACUGGAGCAGUCAGGCCCGGAGGUGCUGGUACAGGUUAUGGCCCAGGUGGAGUUGGACCUGGGGGUGCGGGUACUGGUUUUGGGCCAGGUGGAAUUGGACCCGGGGGUGUAGGUACUGGUUUUGGGCCAGGUGGAAUUGGACCCGGGGGUGUAGGUACUGGUUUUGGGCCAGGUGAAGUUGGACAUGGGGGUCCUGGUACAGGUUAUGGCCCAGGUGGAGUUGGACCAGGCAGUGUGGGUACUGGCUUUGGACCAGGGGGUGUAGGUACUGGUUUUGGACCAGGAGGCUUUGGAUCAAUUGGAGUUGGACCAGGAGGUGCCAGCGCUGGAUUUGGACCAGGUGCAGUUGGACCAGGAGGUGUCGGCACUGGAUUUGGAUCUGGUGGAGUUGGACCAGGAGGUACUGGCACAGGAUUUGGACCAGGUGGGGUUGGACCAGGAGGUGUCGGCACUGGAUUUGGACAAGGUGGAGUUGGACCAGGAGGCGCUGGCACUGGAUCUGGUCCAGGAGGAUUUGGACCAGGUGGAUUUGGACCUGGAGGUUAUGCUUCUGCCAAAGCCCGCAAAUAUGGUCUGCCUGGAGGUGCCCUUGGUACAGGAGCACUUGGACCUAGUUCUGGCCUUGGAGUAGGAGGAGGAAUCCCAGGAAGAGGCGUUAUACUAACAACUGGUGGAAGACCUGAAGGAGGACUGGGGACUGGUGGGCUUCCUGGUUCUGGUAUUGGAACAGGAGGUGGACCAAGUAGUUUCGGACCAGCCAGUACCGGAGGUACGAAAUACAAGUGUUCUAUAAAGUUCAUGGUCCCUGAACCCUUGACUAAAACUCCUUUUAAUAUCUUUUACCAUUUUAUAGGUGGUUAUGGGCCAGGAGGGUUUGGAACUGGCACUGGUCCAGGUCAGUUUUUAGAACAGGUUUAGUGUUUAUAGAAGUAUAAAUUAUUCUUUUACUGACCUCUAUUGGCUAACAGGAGGAUUUACAGUAAAAACAGUGAAUACAUUUAAAAACAGUAGUAAGG
Long non-coding RNA from Betta splendens (Siamese fighting fish), 1707 nucleotides. Lineage: Eukaryota; Metazoa; Chordata; Actinopteri; Anabantiformes; Osphronemidae. The record is from Ensembl.